GACGUAGGGUGCGAGCGUUGUCCGGAUUUAUUGGGCGUAAAGAGCUCGUAGGCGGCUCGUCGCGUCGACCGUGAAAACCCGCGGCUUAACUGUGGGCGUGCGGUCGAUACGGGCAUCACUGGAGUUCGGCAGGGGAGACUGGAAUUCCUGGUGUAGCGGUGAAAUGCGCAGAUAUCAGGAGGAACACCGGUGGCGAAGGCGGGUCUCUGGGCCGAUACUGACGCUGAGGAGCGAAAGCGUGGGGAGCGAACAGG
This 254-nucleotide ribosomal RNA is filed under the name uncultured bacterium. RNAcentral describes it as "partial 16S ribosomal RNA". It matches the Rfam family "Bacterial small subunit ribosomal RNA", at positions 524 to 776 of the family's 1533-position model. The record is from RNAcentral.